UCUUCUCUCUCCCUUUCUCUCUCCACCGCCCUCUCGUCCUACCGACCGGCGCCGGCAGCGGCCGGAGGCAGAAGAAGAGCGGCCGCGGCGGUGGCGGAGGCGCCGCCGAUGCUCCGGCCACGGGAAGGUAUGAAAGGCACUGCGACCACGGGAUAAUCAAACCAGAACAUCCCAUCCUCUCUGUAUCUCGGCGUCGAUGCACCAAAAAUAGCGCAACAGAAUGGAUCCCCCAAGAACCUGCAAUCGCACUCAAUACUCAAAUACUCAAAAUACUCCCGCGGCGCCAAAAUCAUACUCAAUACUCACGGAAAGAUGUUUCGCAGGGGCGUAGAUGUGGCUUGCCUGAGCUUGCUAGAGAGGAUCGCGGCCCUCGUCUCGCGAGUCCGAUGCGAGUCGUUUCCGGAAAUACUUGCUGCAGAAGGCCUCGGCGAUCUCCGGGUACGUCUCCCUGACGAAAUUCUCCAUGCACUUUAGGUAUGAGAAAUCUUCCCUGGAGCCGUCGCUAGAGACCACGAAGAAGCAUCUAGUCUCCGGGAAACUCUCGGGCUGGCCGACCUGCCAAACGUGCAGCGGGGAAGUCACCGGCAUCAUGCGCUUAAUUCAUACCCAGUCAGCCCGCAGCGAAGAGAUGCACGACUAAUAAUAAUAAUAAUAAUAAUAAUAAUAAUAAUCUCUCUAAUUACCGUCGAACACGAUCUGGAAAAUCUCGAGGAAAAUAUUUGCAGUGAAAGAGGAAAACACAAAGAGUAUAUAUAUAUAGAAAGAAAGAAAAAAUAGGAAUGGGAAGGGUUGUCCCCUGCUGGCCAUACCAUAACGUAGUCGACCUCGCCUGAUACUUUUGAGCCCCCGUCUGGAUGGUACCGGAAUACAUUGUCCAAUAUGUACGACUGAUCAUCCGCAGAGAGCCUGUCACCGUCGCUAUACCUGGAUGAUGUCGAACAAAAUGCACAGCAAGAGUAUCAUUAUCAAAGCCAUUGUAACUCUCACCGCAACGCAUGGGGACCUCCAGACGAAUCAUAUCUCUGGCAGGCAUAUUUCAUUUUCCACUUAUUUUUCUUGCCCUGCUACCCCAAAUUUAUCAC
RNAcentral lists this long non-coding RNA (1082 nucleotides) under Spirodela polyrhiza (greater duckweed). RNAcentral describes it as "long non-coding RNA (SPOL_LNC001232)". Lineage: Eukaryota; Viridiplantae; Streptophyta; Magnoliopsida; Alismatales; Araceae. The record is from RNAcentral.